CUCUUCUUUGGCCUUUUGAACAUGGUGUCCUCCCCAUUGGAGUCAAAUGGGGCUUGGCACAACAAGGUGUCACAAGCCAAGGAAUGCAGGUGGCCCCUAGAAGCUGGAAAAGGCAAGGGAACAGAUUGUCCCUGAAAGCCUCCAGGAGGAACACAGCCCUGUUGAUGCCUUGACUUUAGACUUCUGACCUCCAGACUGAUGAGAAUAAAUAAGGGGCUGUUUUUGUCUAUGAAACCUGUGGCGAUUUGUUAAGCAGCAAUCGGAAAUUAAUACAGUCACUUUCUUGUUUCCCGUUGGCUUAUGUUAUUUUCUGCUAAAUCCAAGGUGGGCAUAACAUCCUCUUUGACCAUUUCUGAUAUGAAACAUCUAGUUCAAUGUUAGCACAACUCAGAACUCAGUUCCUGAGGCAGAUGGGAGCACUUUUUAAGAAGAUGGAAUUUUCUAACAACCAGAGCUAUCUCAAAAGUCAUAAGCUUCCUGCCCCUGGAAAUGUGCAAGCCGUGUCUGUCUGCAGAGCUGAAAUUCCUGCGUUCUCAGGAGGCUGGGCAAAUGCUAAGAUGGAGGUUCUGAAAUCUGAUUACUGCACCAAUCACUGUGGGAGAGAGUUAGUGAUAUAUCUACUCCCAGACCCGGAACUACACAGAAUCAAGAUCUAUUAAGGUGGGGCCCCAGAAUUUACAUUGUUUAACCCUCUCCAGGUGAAUCUCCUGAACAUAUUGCUCUACAUUCCCUUUUAAUCUGAGAUCCUAAUAAUAC
This 756-nucleotide long non-coding RNA is filed under the name Macaca mulatta (Rhesus monkey). RNAcentral describes it as "lncRNA (ENSMMUG00000053970.1)". The record is from RNAcentral. Lineage: Eukaryota; Metazoa; Chordata; Mammalia; Primates; Cercopithecidae.